UACGUAGGGGGCUAGCGUUGUCCGGAAUCAUUGGGCGUAAAGAGCGUGUAGGCGGUCCGGUAAGUCCGCUGUGAAAGUCGGGGGCUCAACCCUCGAAUGCCGGUGGAUACUGUCGGGCUAGAGUGCGGAAGGGGCAACUGGAAUUCUUGGUGUAGCGGUGAAAUGCGUAGAUAUCAAGAGGAACACCUGCGGCGAAGGCGGGUUGCUGGGCCGACACUGACGCUGAUGCGCGAAAGCUAGGGGAGCGAACGGG
This 253-nucleotide ribosomal RNA is filed under the name uncultured bacterium. Its description in RNAcentral is "partial 16S ribosomal RNA". It matches the Rfam family "Bacterial small subunit ribosomal RNA", at positions 524 to 776 of the family's 1533-position model. The record is from RNAcentral.